Molecule: ribosomal RNA, 256 nt
Filed under: uncultured bacterium
Lineage: Bacteria
Description: partial 16S ribosomal RNA
Rfam family: Bacterial small subunit ribosomal RNA
Source: RNAcentral
UACGAAGGGGGGCUAGCGUUGCUCGGAAUCACUGGGCGUAAAGGGUGCGUAGGCGGGUCUUUUAAGUCAGUGGUGAAAGCCCGGAGCUCAACUCCGGAACUGCCAUUGAAACUGUGAGACUUGAGUAUGAGAGAGGUGAGUGGAAUUCCGAGUGUAGAGGUGAAAUUCGUAGAUAUUCGGAGGAACACCAGUGGCGAAGGCGGCUCACUGGUCCGGUACUGACGCUGAGGUGCGAAAGCGUGGGGAGCAAACAGGG